GUAGGUGAACCUGCGGAAGGAUCAUUCAUAAUAAGUGUUUUAUGGCACUUUUAAAAAUCCAUAUCCACCUUGUGUGAAAUGUCUGUCGCUUUUCUCUUUUUUCCUCGGAAAAAAACGAAGCGGCUCAACAUCAACUCAUUUUAAUUACUUUGUCUGAAAACUAUUAUGAAUAAACUAAUUCAAAAUACAACUUUCAACAACGGAUCUCUUGGCUCUC
Molecule: unclassified non-coding RNA, 217 nt
Filed under: rhizosphere metagenome
Description: partial ribosomal RNA internal transcribed spacer region
Source: RNAcentral